RNAcentral lists this ribosomal RNA (510 nucleotides) under uncultured bacterium. RNAcentral's name for it is "partial 16S ribosomal RNA". It matches the Rfam family "Bacterial small subunit ribosomal RNA", at positions 28 to 507 of the family's 1533-position model. The record is from RNAcentral.
GACGAACGCUGGCGGCGUGCUUAACACAUGCAAGUCGAACGAAGAGCGAUGGAAGCUUGCUUCUAUCAAUCUUAGUGGCGAACGGGUGAGUAACGCGUAAUCAACCUGCCCUUCAGAGGGGGACAACAGUUGGAAACGACUGCUAAUACCGCAUACGAUCUAAUCUCGGCAUCGAGGAUAGAUGAAAGGUGGCCUCUACAUGUAAGCUAUCACUGAAGGAGGGGAUUGCGUCUGAUUAGCUAGUUGGAGGGGUAACGGCCCACCAAGGCGAUGAUCAGUAGCCGGUCGGAGAGGAUGAACGGCCACAUUGGGACUGAGACACGGCCCAGACUCCUACGGGAGGCAGCAGUGGGGAAUCUUCCGCAAUGGACGAAAGGCUGACGGAGCAACGCCGCGUGAGGGAUGACGGCCUUCGGGUUGUAAAGCUCUGUUAAUCGGGACGAAAGGCCUUCUUGCGAAUAGGGAGAAGGAUUGACGGUACCGGAAUAGAAAGCCACGGCUAACUACGUG